This 2421-nucleotide long non-coding RNA is filed under the name Equus asinus (donkey). RNAcentral describes it as "lncRNA (ENSEASG00005032593.1)". The record is from RNAcentral. Lineage: Eukaryota; Metazoa; Chordata; Mammalia; Perissodactyla; Equidae.
GUUGCUGAAGACUGAGAAAACCUGAGACUUCUGGGAACCUCCUGUGAAUGUUAAAGAGCCCUGAGCGGCAAAGCCUAGGAACUCACGCUCAGCUGUGGCCCGAUGGCUGCUAAGUGCUAAUCAGCUAACAAGUCAUUGCCUGUGGAGUAAAGGGGUGUUGGGUGGAGAAGUUCUGAAGGUGGAGGGGCAGUGUUGGUAGAGACGGGAACAGGGUGAAGAUAUGUCUAGUGAGGGCCUGAGGGGGAACCCCUAGCCGGCUGGGGCCACUGGAGGACAACGGAGCCCCCUCCUGCCUCAGACACCCAAGAGCAAGAGUCAGCCUCUGCUGCCUCAGGCUGGACUCUCAGGAGGGAGUUGGGAGGACUCUUCAGUUUCCCCUCCAUCAGGAAAGUUGGUCCAGGAGAACCAGCCUCAGCCCCGACACAGGCAGUGGCUGGCUCAAGGCUCCGAACCGGCGAAAUCCUGGGCCACUGAAGCAAGCGCACGAACUUAACCACUCGGCCACGGGGCCGGCCCCUCAGCCAGAGCCUUAAAGGGAUGAAGCCUGAAAGCAUCUGACCAUGGUGGGAUCAGGGACUUACACCCCAGAAAUGAGGCUGUUGAGUAUGACCAAUAGUAAGAGCGAAUGCUUGCCAUGUGCCAGAGUUCUAAAUGGUUCAUAUAUAUAAAUUCAUCUUAUCUUCAGACAACUCUGCGAGCCAGGUUCUGUCGUCAUCAUCGUCAUCAUCUCUGUUUAGUCGAUGAGGAAGCUGAGGCACAGGGAGGCCAAGUAACUUGCCCAAGUGCACACAGUUGGGGCAUGGAGGGACAAGGAUUCAAACCCAGCAGACCUGAAUGUCUAAUCUAGGCCAUUAACCACUCUGCUGCCUCUCAGUGACAUGAUUUCAGCUAACCUAUUUUCUGCCUUCAUUCCGAACUUGGCCAGAAGUGGUCAGUAGAUCACGGUGACUCACCAGCAAAACCACAAAGGAGGUGAAGCCCAUCUCCCUUGCCUUCUAGCCACCCAAAGUCGGCCUCCAGGGGCCCCGACCUAUGAUUCUCCUUCCUCCCCGGCUCUGCAAGGAUGGCAGAGGCCUCCCCCUGCCAUCCAGACUCCCUAAGAUAUGUCAACGGGUUGUGGGUUUCCCACUCACUUAGGCCUCAUAUUCUGAAGUGAGAAAGCGCUAAUUUCCUGGUUUGGGGAAAAAGAGGAAAUACAACAUGCAUCACUUAAUGAACACACUCUGCAUGUCCACAUAUAUGUAAAUUAACUCAUUUGGUUUUCAAGUCAACUCAUUCUUGUUACUUGUCCUAUUUUACAAAUUAGGCCAAUGAGGCUUAGGGAGCUUGUGUGACCUGCCCACAGGUCCACAACCAGAAAAGGAACAGGAAACACUGCCCAAAUAUAUGGACCAUACUCUUUCUCUCCGUCUCUCCACCCUCUCUUCCCAUAUCUGGUUGUCUCAUCUCCCUGACUCUCUCAUCACCAGUCUAAUUUGUGUGUGUGUAUGUGUAGGGGGGAUCUUUAAUAAUAUUAUUAAUUCAAAUUAAGUAUUUUGGGUUUAAAUACCUUCUCUUCAAAUUUGAUUGUAAUUUUCCUGGAGUUUUUCAUGUCUCCAGUUCUAUGAAGUUGAAAGUUGAACCAUCCCUGACCUAAAUCAGUGUUUUAGAGUGGUUGAAAGAGAGGUAAUGCAUGUGCAAUGAUUUCAAAAGCAUCAAGUCAUCUACCAGUGCUGGGCUGCUGUUUUGUCUCGUCUUUGUUAAUGGCGUCUGGCACAGUUGCCAGGCUGUGCGGAGGAGCACUCCUGGGAAGCUCCAGAACAGCGCCAGCAUCAUCCAAACCUGAUAUGUUUUAUUCCACCUAAAACCACAAAGGCAACUGGGACUUGUUCUACCAACAUCAUAGUCCUAACACUGGUGGAAACUGACGUAAACGGAGGGGCUCACUACCAUCAACCCCAAACCUGAGGGGCUUUCAUUUCCACAAGCAGCCUCAGAGUCUUCUCCACAUAUAAUGAAUAUGCAUAUGGAUGCCUCUACAGCAUGGCCGAUGAAAGGAAUAGGUCCCUGCUCAGGAUCCCAACCCGCGAAGCCAGGUCACCAAAUCGGAGCACAAAAAACUUUAACCACUCAGCCACAGGGCCAGCCCCAAUCAAAAGUUUUUUUAAGUGGACAUAGACAACAGAAAUGUAUUUUAUAAGGCUGUCCACCAGAAUGUUCUUUAUAAAAGUGAAAAAUUGGAAUAAUUGAGUUUUGAACUAUCUGAUAAAAGAUCUCAUAAAAGUAUAGUAGAUCUAUAUUACUAGACUAUUACUCAGUCACUAAAAAUGAUGUAGAUAAAUAUUUGUUAACACACACACACAAAAUGGCCUAUACUGUAUUGUUAGGUGAAAGGUGCAAGUUAUAGAACAGAAUGACCUCAGUUUUGUAAAAAAAAAAAAA